Vigna angularis (adzuki bean) is the source of this 2061-nucleotide RNA transcript. RefSeq lists it as uncharacterized. The record is from RefSeq and is a predicted model, not a curated record. Lineage: Eukaryota; Viridiplantae; Streptophyta; Magnoliopsida; Fabales; Fabaceae. The transcript is spliced from 7 exons.
UAGGAUGGUAAAAUUGUAAUAAAUGACAAAAAAUUUACACCAAUUAUAUUAAAAAUAGGUGUAGAAAUAUUUUUUUUAUACCAAUUAAACUUUUAACCGUUGUAGAAGAAAAAUGUAAAAUUAAAGAAAUAUUUCUUAAUUGCUAAAAACCAUCACAAAUAUUUUCCCUUCUUCCCUUCUUCUCGCCUCCCCCACCACCGUGCUAUUUACAUCUUGCCAACUCGGUUCAACCUCCACAAAUAGCCACCGACUCAACCACUCCAGGUUAGUACCGAGUCGACAUGCUCUCUGAAACGCUCCCCUUCCUCCAGAAAUUUUGCGGCAAAACCAUAGUUGUCCAGUAUGGUGGCGCCGCCAUGAACAAGGUCGGGGCCACUGUCGUAGGUCUCUCCGGCCUCGAUGGCUGCAUCCUCACCGCCCGUCCCAACCCCAAGGCCGCUGAUCUAGGCUUCGUCGGCGAGGUCGCCAGAGUCGACACCGCAGUCCUGCUCUCCUUCAUCGCAGCAGCCACAUCUCGGUCGUCACCUUCGUUGCUGCCGACGAGUCCGGACAUCCUACAACAUUAACGCCGACACUGUUUCUGGAGAACUGUUGUAGUGCUUGGGGCGGAGAAGCAGAUUCUGCUGAACGACGUGGCGGGGAUUCUGGAGGAUGGAAACGAUUCAAACAGCUUGGUGAAGAAGAGUGACAUAAAAAGAGUGAAGAAAAUGGUCGAAGAGAGAAAAGUUGGAAAUGGAAUGAUACCUAGAGUUAAUUGUUGCGUGAGAUCGUUGGCACAAGGGGUUACUACAGCGAGAAAAUCUUCAACUCUAACUCAUUGAUGCAAAGGCCAGGGAAAUCACUGAUGUAAAUCAAGUUUCAUGAGGAUCACUGAUGUAAAUCAAGUUUCAUGAGGAGUUCUCCAAUCUAGGUUGGUGAAGAUGUGGUGGGAGAGCUAACCAAGUCCAUGGAAAAAAUUGGGAUGGAUAUCCUAAUUGUUGCUCUAUUUAGUCUCACUCUUCUCUCUUUUUUUAUUUAUAUUUUAUGGCUAGGAUUUGAGUAUGACGAUUUCCAAUGUGUCUGACUGAGUUUUUUGAGUUACAAGAUUUUAUUAUGUCAUUUUUAUUUUAUUUUAAAUCAUUCUUGGUGGUUUAAUAUAUAAACUGUAAAUGAAACUUAACUUGCUGAUUUGAUGUAGGUUAAUGAUACCAUUGGAACAUUAGCUGGAGGCAGAUUCUACAAUCAGGAUGUAAUUGCUGUUGUGAUUCUUGGUAUUGGGACAAAUGCAGCAUAUGUAGAACGUGCACAUGCUAUUCCAAAAUGGCACACUUAUACCAAAAUCUGGAGAUAUGGUUAUAAACAUGGAGUGGGGUAAUUUCCGAUCAAAUCUUUCUCUUACAGAAUAUGAUCUGGCUCUUGAUGUUGAGAGUUUAAACCCAAGAGAACAGAAAUUGAUUUCGGGCAUGUAUUUGGGGGAGAUUAUUAGAAGAGUUUUGUUGAAGAUGGCUGAAGAAGCUGACUUUUUUUGAGAUAUUGUUCCACCCAAAUUGAAAGUUCCUUUCAUACUUAGCAUGCUUUGAAACAUUACUCCCUAGUUUUUUAUGUUGUGUACACACCCAAGAUGACUAGACUGUUGAAAGAAGCAGAAGAAGGAGUCACCAUUGUGACAGGAUUUGAGAUGUUUAUAGGGCAAGCAUAUGGGCAGUUUGACAAUUGUUGUUAAAGUAAUAAUGAGAUUAACAAUCAGGAAUUUAAUCAUUUUCAAAGCUGAGGGAUUCUAUCUAUUUUGAAGAGGGGGAUUCAGUACAUAUCAAGCUCAUUUAAUUGGAGAACUUAUAUGUGAAGAUUGUUCCAUUCGUUGCUCAAAAUAGCAUUGAGGAGAUCUACCUUUUCAAACAGAACAUUGUGGUCUCUUAUUUCAUGUGAUAUUUAUGUAGCUUUUAUUUCAACUUUUAGUAUUUUCACAUGCACUUUUCAUGUAUCCAGUUUGUAGUUUACUGUGUCUGUAGAUUAUAAUUGAAAUUUUUGUUUGAAAUUUUAUUUAUUAUAUAAUUUAUAUUUAUAUCAUUUCUUUACUUAUAA